AGUGAACGCUGGCGGUAGGCCUAACACAUGCAAGUCAAACGGCAGCACAGGAGAGCUUGCUCUCUGGGUGGCGAGUGGCGGACGGGUGAGGAAUACAUUGGAAUCUACUUUUUCGUGGGGGAUAACGUAGGGAAACUUACGCUAAUACCGCAUACGACCUACGGGUGAAAGCAGGGGACCUUCGGGCCUUGCGCGAUUGAAUGAGCCGAUGUCGGAUUAGCUAGUUGGCGGGGUAAAGGCCCACCAAGGAGACGAUCCGUAGCUGGUCUGAGAGGAUGAUCGACCACACUGGAACUGAGACACGGGCCAGACUCCUACGGGAGGCAGCAGUGGGGAAUAUUGGACAAUGGGCGCAAGCCUGAUCCAGCCAUACCGCGUGGGUGAAGAAGGCCUUCGGGUUGUAAAGCCCUUUUGUUGGGAAAGAAAUCCAGCUGGCUAAUACCCGGUUGGGAUGACGGUACCCAAAGAAUAAGCACCGGCUAACUUCGUGCCAGCCGCCGCGGUAA
RNAcentral lists this ribosomal RNA (506 nucleotides) under uncultured bacterium. Its description in RNAcentral is "partial 16S ribosomal RNA". It matches the Rfam family "Bacterial small subunit ribosomal RNA", at positions 29 to 523 of the family's 1533-position model. The record is from RNAcentral.